CGCAUUGCGUACGCCUAGUACGGCGAGUGAGCGGCAACAGCUCAAAUUUGAAAUCUGGCUCUUUUAGAGUCCGAGUUGUAAUUUGCAGAGGGCGCUUUGGCUUUGGCAGCGGUCCAAGUUCCUUGGAACAGGACGUCACAGAGGGUGAGAAUCCCGUACGUGGUCGCUGGCUAUUGCCGUGUAAAGCCCCUUCGACGAGUCGAGUUGUUUGGGAAUGCAGCUCUAAAUGGGAGGUACAUUUCUUCUAAAGCUAAAUAUUGGCCAGAGACCGAUAGCGCACAAGUAGAGUGAUCGAAAGAUGAAAAGCACUUUGGAAAGAGAGUCAAACAGCACGUGAAAUUGUUGAAAGGGAAGCGCUUGCAGCCAGACUUGCUUACAGUUGCUCAUCCGGGUUUCUACCCGGUGCACUCUUCUGUAGGCAGGCCAGCAUCAGUUUGGGCGGUAGGAUAAAGGUCUCUGUCACGUACCUCCUUUCGGGGAGGCCUUAUAGGGGAGACGACAUACUACCAGCCUGGACUGAGGUCCGCGCAUCUGCUAGGAUGCUGGCGUAAUGGCUGUAAGCGGCCCGUCUUGAAACACGGACCAAA
RNAcentral lists this ribosomal RNA (587 nucleotides) under Alternaria alternata. RNAcentral's name for it is "partial large subunit ribosomal RNA". It matches the Rfam family "Eukaryotic large subunit ribosomal RNA", at positions 64 to 670 of the family's 3401-position model. Lineage: Eukaryota; Fungi; Ascomycota; Dothideomycetes; Pleosporales; Pleosporaceae. The record is from RNAcentral.